UUUGAUCCUGGCUCAGGACGAACGCUGGCGGCGUGCCUAAUACAUGCAAGUCGAGCGAAUCUGAGGGAGCUUGCUCCCAAAGAUUAGCGGCGGACGGGUGAGUAACACGUGGGCAACCUGCCUGUAAGACUGGGAUAACUUCGGGAAACCGGAGCUAAUACCGGAUAAUCCUUUUCUACUCAUGUAGAAAAGCUGAAAGAUGGCUUCGGCUAUCACUUACAGAUGGGCCCGCGGCGCAUUAGCUAGUUGGUGAGGUAACGGCUCACCAAGGCGACGAUGCGUAGCCGACCUGAGAGGGUGAUCGGCCACACUGGGACUGAGACACGGCCCAGACUCCUACGGGAGGCAGCAGUAGGGAAUCUUCCGCAAUGGACGAAAGUCUGACGGAGCAACGCCGCGUGAGUGAUGAAGGUUUUCGGAUCGUAAAACUCUGUUGUUAGGGAAGAACAAGUACCGUUCGAAUAGGGCGGUACCUUGACGGUACCUAACCAGAAAGCCACGGCUAACUACGUGCCAGCAGCCGCGGUAAUACGUAGGUGGCAAGCGUUGUCCGGAAUUAUUGGGCGUAAAGCGCGCGCAGGUGGUUUCUUAAGUCUGAUGUGAAAGCCCCCGGCUCAACCGGGGAGGGUCAUUGGAAACUGGGAGACUUGAGUGCAGAAGAGGAAAGUGGAAUUCCAAGUGUAGCGGUGAAAUGCGUAGAGAUUUGGAGGAACACCAGUGGCGAAGGCGACUUUCUGGUCUGUAACUGACACUGAGGCGCGAAAGCGUGGGGAGCGAACAGGAUUAGAUACCCUGGUAGUCCACGCCGUAAACGAUGAGUGCUAAGUGUUAGAGGGUUUCCGCCCUUUAGUGCUGCAGCAAACGCAUUAAGCACUCCGCCUGGGGAGUACGGCCGCAAGGCUGAAACUCAAAGGAAUUGACGGGGGCCCGCACAAGCGGUGGAGCAUGUGGUUUAAUUCGAAGCAACGCGAAGAACCUUACCAGGUCUUGACAUCCUCUGACAAUCCUAGAGAUAGGACGUUCCCCUUCGGGGGACAGAGUGACAGGUGGUGCAUGGUUGUCGUCAGCUCGUGUCGUGAGAUGUUGGGUUAAGUCCCGCAACGAGCGCAACCCUUGAUCUUAGUUGCCAGCAUUCAGUUGGGCACUCUAAGGUGACUGCCGGUGACAAACCGGAGGAAGGUGGGGAUGACGUCAAAUCAUCAUGCCCCUUAUGACCUGGGCUACACACGUGCUACAAUGGAUGGUACAAAGGGCUGCAAGACCGCGAGGUUUAGCCAAUCCCAUAAAACCAUUCUCAGUUCGGAUUGCAGGCUGCAACUCGCCUGCAUGAAGCCGGAAUCGCUAGUAAUCGCGGAUCAGCAUGCCGCGGUGAAUACGUUCCCGGGCCUUGUACACACCGCCCGUCACACCACGAGAGUUUGUAACACCCGAAGUCGGUGGGGUAACCGCAAGGAGCCAGCCGCCUAAGGUGGGACAGAUGAUUGGGGUGAAGUCGUAACAAGGUAGCCGUANCGGAAGGGCG
RNAcentral lists this ribosomal RNA (1522 nucleotides) under Bacillus pichinotyi. RNAcentral's name for it is "bacterial SSU rRNA". It matches the Rfam family "Bacterial small subunit ribosomal RNA". The record is from RNAcentral. Lineage: Bacteria; Bacillati; Bacillota; Bacilli; Caryophanales; Bacillaceae.